GUGGUUUUGAUACUGUAAGCAUUGUUUGGAAACUUGAUAGCACAGCUAGCAUUAUGAUACAAUGUUUAUUGACAGAAACGUACAGUAUAUUAUGGAUUUCAGUGAAUAUACAGUAAAUAUACAUGUAUUGUU
Long non-coding RNA from Sinocyclocheilus grahami, 132 nucleotides. RefSeq lists it as uncharacterized. NCBI's taxonomy places the organism in Eukaryota, Metazoa, Chordata, Actinopteri, Cypriniformes, Cyprinidae. The record is from RefSeq and is a predicted model, not a curated record. The transcript has 4 exons.